AUGUUCCUAGAUCUUUCUGACAACAGGUUAUUUGGAGGAUUGCCAGAAUGGUUACCCCAAAAAAUGCCACACUUGAAAAUAUUAAGAGUGAGAUCAAAUAUGUUCAGUGGUCAUAUUCCUAAGAGUCUCACUUCCCUUCAUGGUCUUCAUUAUUUGGAUAUAGCACACAACAACAUAACAGGAAGCAUACCAUGGUCUUUGUCAAACCUGAAGGCAAUGAUGACAGUGGUGUCGCAGGACACAGGGGAUUACAUUUAUGAGGAGAGCAUCCCAGUAAUCACAAAGGACCAAAAACGUGACUACACCUUUGCAAUUUACCAGCUACUGGUAGUUCUUGAUUUGUCAAGUAAUAGUUUGGUAGGUCAGGUUCCAGAGGAGAUAACUCUACUCAUUGGACUUACCAGCCUGAACUUGUCAAAUAAUCAGUUCAUAGGAACAAUCCCGAACCAAGUUGGUGAUUUAAAGCGGUUGGAGUCACUCGACCUAUCCUACAAUGAGUUUUCUGGUGCAAUACCAUCAAGUUUGUCAGCUUUAACUUAUUUGAGCCACUUAAACUUGUCAUACAACAAUCUGUCUGGUGCAAUACCAUCCAGCCAACAGCUAUAA
Molecule: ribosomal RNA, 606 nt
Filed under: Triticum aestivum (bread wheat)
Lineage: Eukaryota; Viridiplantae; Streptophyta; Magnoliopsida; Poales; Poaceae
Description: partial small subunit ribosomal RNA
Source: RNAcentral